CCCGCCGUAGCUCAGCGGCAGAGCGCCCGGCUGUAGGUGGGGCUCAGGCCCCCCACGCGCCCGACACCCCCGACGGGGGCUGGAUGAGGGCGCGUCGGCAUCGGGGGCCUGGGAGGCAGAUACCGGGCGGUCCGGGGUUCGAAUCCCCGCGGCGGGACCA
RNAcentral lists this transfer RNA (160 nucleotides) under Pyrodictium delaneyi. Its description in RNAcentral is "tRNA-Tyr". It matches the Rfam family "tRNA". Rfam says of the family: Transfer RNA (tRNA) molecules are approximately 80 nucleotides in length. Their secondary structure includes four short double-helical elements and three loops (D, anti-codon, and T loops). Further hydrogen bonds mediate the characteristic L-shaped molecular structure. tRNAs have two regions of fundamental functional importance: the anti-codon, which is responsible for specific mRNA codon recognition, and the 3' end, to which the tRNAs corresponding amino acid is attached (by aminoacyl-tRNA synthetases). tRNAs cope with the degeneracy of the genetic code in two manners: having more than one tRNA (with a specific anti-codon) for a particular amino acid; and 'wobble' base-pairing, i.e. permitting non-standard base-pairing at the 3rd anti-codon position. The record is from RNAcentral. Lineage: Archaea; Thermoproteati; Thermoproteota; Thermoprotei; Desulfurococcales; Pyrodictiaceae.